This 285-nucleotide long non-coding RNA is filed under the name Malus domestica (apple). RNAcentral's name for it is "long non-coding RNA (MDOM_LNC013472)". The record is from RNAcentral. Lineage: Eukaryota; Viridiplantae; Streptophyta; Magnoliopsida; Rosales; Rosaceae.
GCUUGGACGUGCUUGCUGUCCAACUUGGAUCGUUGGAGCAUUUAGGUGUUUUCUUUCUUUUGUUUUCAAUGUUUAAAUUCAUUUUCUUUCAUUUUCUUGUGAAUAUGAGUGGCUAAACCCCUCUUAGCUAGGGGUGAUUUCAAAGCCAUGAUUAUGUGUGUAUUAUGAUUUGAUAAAUUCCAGUUAUGAACUCUUGAGUUGUGAAUGCAAUUAGCUUAACUAUUUGAUUGAUAACUUAUUUGUAUUUGUUAAUUAAGGGUCGACACUUAAUUGGCAUGCAUAAAU